Long non-coding RNA from Paramormyrops kingsleyae, 468 nucleotides. RefSeq lists it as uncharacterized. The record is from RefSeq and is a predicted model, not a curated record. NCBI's taxonomy places the organism in Eukaryota, Metazoa, Chordata, Actinopteri, Osteoglossiformes, Mormyridae.
GAAGAAUUGAUUUCAGACUUGCAGCGUUAAGCAAAGCUAGCGGGCAUAACUAGGUUAUGUUUAGGAAAAUGGUAUCGGAUCGGAAGAAGAGCAGCAACCUGAAGACUCAGCUAGACCUGAAGAUGUGGAGACAAUAGUUGAAUGGGGACACCGAUGCAUCCAGGAUCCUCCUUCAUUGUAAACAUGCAGCAGUGUGGGUUGAGGCCAACAAGCACAAGUUCUCUGCCACAGUGGACCCACCUGCCGUACUGUCCACGGGGGAAGAGAAACAGGCAGAGGCUGCUGUAAAAUAUGGAAAGUUGUGCCAUGAAUACAUGGAGGAGCAGGACAAAGAGGCAAUCCUGGAGCCUUUCAUGUUUAUGUUCGAUUGCAUUGAUGACAUGUUGACAUUCUGCCAGGAGAUUAUUGAUAAGAGAAGGUAUGUGACAUAUUGUGAAUGUCGCACAAAUAUUACCAAAGAAUAAAAGA